CCUACGGGAGGCAGCAGUGAGGAAUAUUGGUCAAUGGCCGUAAGGCUGAACCAGCCAAGUAGCGUGAGGGAAGACUGCCCUAUGGGUUGUAAACCUCUUUUAUGCGGGGAUAAAGGUGUCCACGUGUGGAUGUUUGCAGGUACCGCAUGAAUACGGACCGGCUAAUUCCGUGCCAGCAGCCGCGGUAAUACGGAAGGUCCGGGCGUUAUCCGGAGUUAUUGGGUUUAAUGGGAGCGUAGGCCGGUCUUUAAGCGUGCCGUGAAAUUUGGUGGCUCAACCAUGAGAGUGCGGCGCGAACUGGAGGCCUUGAGUGCGCGGAAGGCAGGCGGAAUUCGUGGUGGAGCGGUGAAAUGCUUAGAUAUCACGAAGAACCCCGAUUGCGAAGGCGGCUUGCUGGGUCGAUACUGACAUUGAGGCACGAAAGCGUGGGGAGCAAACAGGAUUAGAUACCCUAGUAGUC
Molecule: ribosomal RNA, 460 nt
Filed under: uncultured bacterium
Lineage: Bacteria
Description: partial 16S ribosomal RNA
Rfam family: Bacterial small subunit ribosomal RNA
Source: RNAcentral